RNAcentral lists this ribosomal RNA (2904 nucleotides) under Salmonella enterica. RNAcentral's name for it is "23S ribosomal RNA". It matches the Rfam family "Bacterial large subunit ribosomal RNA". The record is from RNAcentral. Lineage: Bacteria; Pseudomonadati; Pseudomonadota; Gammaproteobacteria; Enterobacterales; Enterobacteriaceae. RNAcentral also lists the same sequence under 1 other name.
GGUUAAGCGACUAAGCGUACACGGUGGAUGCCCUGGCAGUCAGAGGCGAUGAAGGGCGUGCUAAUCUGCGAUAAGCGCCGGUAAGGUGAUAUGAACCGUUAUAACCGGCGAUACCCGAAUGGGGAAACCCAGUGUGAUUCGUCACACUAUCAUUAACUGAAUCCAUAGGUUAAUGAGGCGAACCGGGGGAACUGAAACAUCUAAGUACCCCGAGGAAAAGAAAUCAACCGAGAUUCCCCCAGUAGCGGCGAGCGAACGGGGAGGAGCCCAGAGCCUGAAUCAGCAUGUGUGUUAGUGGAAGCGUCUGGAAAGGCGCGCGAUACAGGGUGACAGCCCCGUACACAAAAGCGCAUGUGCUGUGAGCUCGAUGAGUAGGGCGGGACACGUGGUAUCCUGUCUGAAUAUGGGGGGACCAUCCUCCAAGGCUAAAUACUCCUGACUGACCGAUAGUGAACCAGUACCGUGAGGGAAAGGCGAAAAGAACCCCGGCGAGGGGAGUGAAAAAGAACCUGAAACCGUGUACGUACAAGCAGUGGGAGCACCCUUUGGGUGUGACUGCGUACCUUUUGUAUAAUGGGUCAGCGACUUAUAUUCUGUAGCAAGGUUAACCGAAUAGGGGAGCCGGAGGGAAACCGAGUCUUAACCGGGCGUUAAGUUGCAGGGUAUAGACCCGAAACCCGGUGAUCUAGCCAUGGGCAGGUUGAAGGUUGGGUAACACUAACUGGAGGACCGAACCGACUAAUGUUGAAAAAUUAGCGGAUGACCUGUGGCUGGGGGUGAAAGGCCAAUCAAACCGGGAGAUAGCUGGUUCUCCCCGAAAGCUAUUUAGGUAGCGCCUCGUGAAUUCAUCUCCGGGGGUAGAGCACUGUUUCGGCUAGGGGGCCAUCCCGGCUUACCAACCCGAUGCAAACUGCGAAUACCGGAGAAUGUUAUCACGGGAGACACACGGCGGGUGCUAACGUCCGUCGUGAAGAGGGAAACAACCCAGACCGCCAGCUAAGGUCCCAAAGUCAUGGUUAAGUGGGAAACGAUGUGGGAAGGCCCAGACAGCCAGGAUGUUGGCUUAGAAGCAGCCAUCAUUUAAAGAAAGCGUAAUAGCUCACUGGUCGAGUCGGCCUGCGCGGAAGAUGUAACGGGGCUAAACCAUGCACCGAAGCUGCGGCAGCGACACUGUGUGUUGUUGGGUAGGGGAGCGUUCUGUAAGCCUGCGAAGGUGGCCUGUGAGGGUUGCUGGAGGUAUCAGAAGUGCGAAUGCUGACAUAAGUAACGAUAAAGCGGGUGAAAAGCCCGCUCGCCGGAAGACCAAGGGUUCCUGUCCAACGUUAAUCGGGGCAGGGUGAGUCGACCCCUAAGGCGAGGCCGAAAGGCGUAGUCGAUGGGAAACGGGUUAAUAUUCCCGUACUUGGUGUUACUGCGAAGGGGGGACGGAGAAGGCUAUGUUGGCCGGGCGACGGUUGUCCCGGUUUAAGCGUGUAGGUGUGUGUUCCAGGUAAAUCCGGUUCACUUUAACACUGAGGCGUGACGACGAGGCACUACGGUGCUGAAGCAACAAAUGCCCUGCUUCCAGGAAAAGCCUCUAAGCAUCAGGUAACAUCAAAUCGUACCCCAAACCGACACAGGUGGUCAGGUAGAGAAUACCAAGGCGCUUGAGAGAACUCGGGUGAAGGAACUAGGCAAAAUGGUGCCGUAACUUCGGGAGAAGGCACGCUGACACGUAGGUGAAGUGAUUUACUCAUGGAGCUGAAGUCAGUCGAAGAUACCAGCUGGCUGCAACUGUUUAUUAAAAACACAGCACUGUGCAAACACGAAAGUGGACGUAUACGGUGUGACGCCUGCCCGGUGCCGGAAGGUUAAUUGAUGGGGUCAGCGCAAGCGAAGCUCCUGAUCGAAGCCCCGGUAAACGGCGGCCGUAACUAUAACGGUCCUAAGGUAGCGAAAUUCCUUGUCGGGUAAGUUCCGACCUGCACGAAUGGCGUAAUGAUGGCCAGGCUGUCUCCACCCGAGACUCAGUGAAAUUGAACUCGCUGUGAAGAUGCAGUGUACCCGCGGCAAGACGGAAAGACCCCGUGAACCUUUACUAUAGCUUGACACUGAACAUUGAGCCUUGAUGUGUAGGAUAGGUGGGAGGCUUUGAAGUGUGGACGCCAGUCUGCAUGGAGCCGACCUUGAAAUACCACCCUUUAAUGUUUGAUGUUCUAACGUGGACCCGUUACCCGGGUUGCGGACAGUGUCUGGUGGGUAGUUUGACUGGGGCGGUCUCCUCCUAAAGAGUAACGGAGGAGCACGAAGGUUGGCUAAUCCUGGUCGGACAUCAGGAGGUUAGUGCAAUGGCAUAAGCCAGCUUGACUGCGAGCGUGACGGCGCGAGCAGGUGCGAAAGCAGGUCAUAGUGAUCCGGUGGUUCUGAAUGGAAGGGCCAUCGCUCAACGGAUAAAAGGUACUCCGGGGAUAACAGGCUGAUACCGCCCAAGAGUUCAUAUCGACGGCGGUGUUUGGCACCUCGAUGUCGGCUCAUCACAUCCUGGGGCUGAAGUAGGUCCCAAGGGUAUGGCUGUUCGCCAUUUAAAGUGGUACGCGAGCUGGGUUUAGAACGUCGUGAGACAGUUCGGUCCCUAUCUGCCGUGGGCGCUGGAGAACUGAGGGGGGCUGCUCCUAGUACGAGAGGACCGGAGUGGACGCAUCACUGGUGUUCGGGUUGUCAUGCCAAUGGCACUGCCCGGUAGCUAAAUGCGGAAGAGAUAAGUGCUGAAAGCAUCUAAGCACGAAACUUGCCCCGAGAUGAGUUCUCCCUGAGACUUAGAGUCUCCUGAAGGAACGUUGAAGACGACGACGUUGAUAGGCCGGGUGUGUAAGCGCAGCGAUGCGUUGAGCUAACCGGUACUAAUGAACCGUGAGGCUUAACCUU